CGUGUAGGCGGCUAGGUAGGUCCGUUGUGAAAACUCGAGGCUCAACCUCGAGACGUCGAUGGAAACCAUCUAGCUAGAGUCCGGAAGAGGAGAGUGGAAUUCCUGGUGUAGCGGUGAAAUGCGCAGAUAUCAGGAAGAACGCCCGUGGCGAAGGCGGCUCUCUGGUACGUGACUGACGCUGAGACGAGAAAGCGUGGGGGAGACAAACGA
Molecule: ribosomal RNA, 210 nt
Filed under: uncultured bacterium
Lineage: Bacteria
Description: partial 16S ribosomal RNA
Rfam family: Bacterial small subunit ribosomal RNA
Source: RNAcentral